This 504-nucleotide ribosomal RNA is filed under the name uncultured bacterium. RNAcentral describes it as "partial 16S ribosomal RNA". It matches the Rfam family "Bacterial small subunit ribosomal RNA", at positions 29 to 523 of the family's 1533-position model. The record is from RNAcentral.
AUUGAACGCUGGCGGCAGGCCUAACACAUGCAAGUCGAACGGUAGCACAGAGAGCUUGCUCUCGGGUGACGAGUGGCGGACGGGUGAGUAACGUCUGGGAAACCGCCCGAUGGAGGGGGAUAACUACUGGAAACGGUAGCUAAUACCGCAUAACGUCGCAAGACCAAAGUGGGGGACCUUCGGGCCUCACACCAUCGGAUGUGCCCAGGUGGGAUUAGCUAGUAGGUGGGGUAAUGGCUCACCUAGGCGACGAUCCCUAGCUGGUCUGAGAGGAUGACCAGCCACACUGGAACGGAGACACGGUCCAGACUCCUACGGGAGGCAGCAGUGGGGAAUAUUGCACAAGGGGCGCAAGCCUGAUGCAGCCAUGCCGCGUGUAUGAAGAAGGCCUUCGGGUUGUAAAGUACUUUCAGCGGGGAGGAAGGCGGUGAAGUUAAUAGCUUCACCGAUUGACGUUACCCGCAGAAGAAGCACCGGCUAACUCCGUGCCAGCCGCCGCAGUAA